CGGGUGAGUAACACGUAUCCAACCUGCCGUCUACUCUUGGACAGCCUUCUGAAAGGAAGAUUAAUACAAGAUGGCAUCAUGAGUCCACAUGUUCACAUGAUUAAAGGUAUUCCGGUAGACGAUGGGGAUGCGUUCCAUUAGAUAGUAGGCGGGGUAACGGCCCACCUAGUCUUCGAUGGAUAGGGGUCCUGAGAGGAAGGUCCCCCACAUUGGAGCUGAGACACGGUCCAA
Molecule: ribosomal RNA, 231 nt
Filed under: uncultured bacterium
Lineage: Bacteria
Description: partial 16S ribosomal RNA
Rfam family: Bacterial small subunit ribosomal RNA
Source: RNAcentral